This 283-nucleotide ribosomal RNA is filed under the name uncultured bacterium. RNAcentral describes it as "partial 16S ribosomal RNA". It matches the Rfam family "Bacterial small subunit ribosomal RNA", at positions 15 to 291 of the family's 1533-position model. The record is from RNAcentral.
GAUCAUGGCUCAGGAUGAACGCUAGCGACAGGCUUAACACAUGCAAGUCGAGGGGCAGCACGGGGUAGCAAUACCCCGUUGGCGACCGGCGCACGGGUGAGUAACACGUGUGCAACCAACCCCGUACCGGGAGAUAACCCGCGGAAACGUGGACUAACACCCCAUAAGACCUUUCCCCCGCAUGGGGGGGGAGUUUAAAACCCCCGGUGGUACGGGACGGGCACGCGCGACAUUAGGUAGUUGGCGGGGUAACGGCCCACCAAGCCGACGAUGUCUAGGGGUU